Molecule: long non-coding RNA, 1555 nt
Organism: Falco peregrinus (peregrine falcon)
Lineage: Eukaryota; Metazoa; Chordata; Aves; Falconiformes; Falconidae
Exons: 4
Source: RefSeq, a predicted model, not a curated record
CCUGAUUUUCCUCUCUCCACACAGAGAGCCAUAAUCCCCCCCAAAUCUUUCCUUGUGCCAGAACAAGGACACUAACUCUUUGUUUUCAAUCUGCUCUACAGGACUCUCUCUCAAAUUGCAAUUCCUGUUGCUUUCUUGUGUUCUGAGUACUGUUCUUGCUUUUGGAAACUUGGGUAACAGUACUGAAAGCUCCGGUUCUGACAGUAUGGAGGACCAACCACAAGUGCCCCUUGAAGAGAUUGGUCGCAUCCUUAGAUGCCUGUACCACAGGCAGAUGUGCUGGUUAAUCAAGUCCAAGUCUCAGAUAAUUGGAAAACUAUGAACAUCUCCUGCAGAACACUGUUGCUUCUAGAUAAUCUUCCUUCCCACCUUUUGUCUCACUAGUGCACUGGAAACUGAGGAUAACAAGCAAGUCCCGUUCCACAUGCCCACCUCUGAAGCCAGUGUCAGUUACAGUGCACAGCUCUCUCAAACCUUGUCUGAUUACUUGUUAAGCUUGAAUAAAUGCUGAGCAUUUAAUUUCUUAGCUGUCUUCAUCUUUUCUUAAGAAAAAAUAUACCCCAAAAUAGGAUUAUUUCAGUGAUCCUGUUUCCAAAGACCAGGAGUAGAAAGGGAAAGGAAUUCCUGAAGCUGGCAACAUCUUUUGUCCAUUCCAAGUUUCAUUGGUUCUCUCAGGUCUUGAUCUGGCCCUACUAUAUAUUACCCAGUCUCCAUACUAUGCUGAAGACAGAUUAAUCAAAAUAAUUUCUGCCUAAGCCACCACUAGAUCUUACAUACAAUUUGAAGAAAGUUUGUGUAAACCAAGUCUAUGGAAGCUUCUACUGCAACAGAAAGCAUUUAUGCUGUUUUAUUAAUACCACAGAAUAAAUCAAAUGUGGAGGAAGAGGUGAAUUGGAUUGGAAGGAAAAGUUAGUAACUCUUAGCAUUACCUUUUGUUUUGAAAGGAACAUACUAGUAAAUUUACAAGACUCUCAGGGUUCCCUUUAUAAAUGCACAUAUCUUCCCCAGAUUCAGCUAACUGGGACACAGGGGUGGUGUUGAAAAGGAGCAAGCCCUAAAAUCAUUCAUUAGUUAAGCAGGAUGUGGCCAACAGUCUCAAUAAUGCAUGAGCAUGUCACAGUCCUGUCACACAAGGUAAUUCCAGACCAUGACAUUUAUCACCACCCUGCUUCAACACACGGCUCAAAAUUCAUUAAGAUCCCUUUCCAAGUCUCAGCCACAACUUUCAGCUGUUACUGUCACCAACUCUUGACAUUACUACACAAUUAACAGCAAUUACACCUUGAUUAAAAACACAGGGAGAAAUGUCAGCAGCUGUUGUGCAGCUCUUGUUAGCAGCAUGAAUGCACAGAAGGUCCACAUCAGCCUCCUGACUGCAAAUUAUGCACAUUACCUAAACUGCAAAAAAAAAAAAAACCCAACCCAUAAUUUACAAGGUAAUACUUUAAUGCUGCUCUUUCCAGUGAUCCUGUUUAUGGCACGGUCUCCCCAACAGCUGUACUGCCAUAAGCAGUGGGAAGAAAGGAACCUCAAAAUCCAGCUCCCAAAAUCAGUC